Molecule: ribosomal RNA, 429 nt
Filed under: uncultured bacterium
Lineage: Bacteria
Description: bacterial SSU rRNA
Rfam family: Bacterial small subunit ribosomal RNA
Source: RNAcentral
GGACCCGCACAAGUAGUGGAGCAUGUGGUUUAAUUCGAAGAUACGCGCAGAACCUUACCAACACUUGACAUGUUCGUCGCGACUCUAAGAGAUUAAAGUUUUCGGUUCGGCCGGACGAAACACAGGUGCUGCAUGGCUGUCGUCAGCUCGUGUCGUGAGAUGUUGGGUUAAGUCCCGCAACGAGCGCAACCCUCACUUUUAGUUGCCAUCAUUAAGUUGGGCACUCUGAAAGAACUGCCAGUGAUAAGCUGGAGGAAGGUGGGGAUGACGUCAAGUCCUCAUGGCCCUUACGUGUUGGGCUACACACGUGCUACAAUGGUAUCUACAACAGGAAGCAAGACGGCGACGUUAAGCAAAUCCUUAAAAGAUACCUCAGUUCGGAUUGUACUCUGCAACUCGAGUACAUGAAGCUGGAAUUACUAGUAAUCG